GUGCCCGUAGCUCAAACUGGAUAGAGCACCAGCCUUCUAAGCUGGGGGUUGUGGGUUCGACUCCCGCCGGGCGCGCCA
This 78-nucleotide transfer RNA is filed under the name Actinobacteria bacterium 13_1_20CM_3_68_10. RNAcentral describes it as "tRNA-Arg". It matches the Rfam family "tRNA". From Rfam's summary of the family: Transfer RNA (tRNA) molecules are approximately 80 nucleotides in length. Their secondary structure includes four short double-helical elements and three loops (D, anti-codon, and T loops). The record is from RNAcentral. RNAcentral also lists the same sequence under 3 other names. Lineage: Bacteria; Bacillati; Actinomycetota.